UUAGAACUCUGGUGAAGGAACUAGGCAAAAUAGCACCGUAACUUCGGGAGAAGGUGCGCUGUUGACGGUGAAGGGCCUGCGCCCGGAGCUGUUGGCAGCCGAAGUAACCAGGCCGCUGCAACUGUUUAUUAAAAACACAGCACUCUGUAAACACGAAAGUGGACGUAUAGGGUGUGACGCCUCCCCGGUGCCGGAAGGUUAAUUGAUGGGGUCAGCCGCAAGGCGAAGCUCUUGAUCGAAGCCCCGGUAAACGGCGGCCGUAACUAUAACGGUCCUAAGGUAGCGAAAUUCCUUGUCGGGUAAGUUCCGACCUGCACGAAUGGCGUAAUGAUGGCGGCGCUGUCUCCACCAGAGACUCAGUGAAAUCGAAAUCGCGGUGAAGAUGCCGUGUACCCGUGGCUAGACGGAAAGACCCCGUGAACCUUUACUGUAGCUUCACACUGGACUUUGACAUGAUCUGUGUAGGAUAGCUGGGAGGCUUUGAAGUGGUGACGCUAGUUGCCAUGGAGCCGUCCUUGAAAUACCAGCCUGGUCCUGUCGGGGUUCUAACGUCGACCUGUUAUCCAGGUUACGGACAGUGUGUGGUGGGCAGUUUGACUGGGGCGGUCUCCUCCCAAAGAGUAACGGAGGAGCACGAAGGUGCGCUAAUGACGGUCGGAAAUCGUCAGGUUAGUGUAAAGGCACAAGCGCGCUUGACUGCGAGACAGACAAGUCGAGCAGGUACGAAAGUAGGUCUUAGUGAUCCGGUGGUUCUGUAUGGAAGGGCCAUCGCUCAACGGAUAAAAGGUACUCCGGGGAUAACAGGCUGAUACCGCCCAAGAGUUCAUAUCGACGGCGGUGUUUGGCACCUCGAUGUCGGCUCAUCACAUCCUGGGGCUGAAGCCGGUCCCAAGGGUAUGGCUGUUCGCCAUUUAAAGUGGUACGCGAGCUGGGUUUAGAACGUCGUGAGACAGUUCGAUCCCUAUCUGCCAUGGGCGUUGGAGAUUUGAGAAGAGUUGCUCCUAGUACGAGAGGACCGGAGUGAACGAACCUCUGGUGUACCGGUUGUCACGCCAGUGGCAUUGCCGGGUAGCUAAGUUCGGACGGGAUAACCGCUGAAAGCAUCUAAGCGGGAAGCCUCCUUCAAGAUGAGAUCUCCCUGGAGCUUUAAGCUCCCUGAAGGGCCGUCGAAGACUACGACGUUGAUAGGCGAGGUGUGGAAGCGUUGUGAGGCGUUGAGCUGACUCGUACUAAUUGCCCGUGCGGCUUGACU
RNAcentral lists this ribosomal RNA (1252 nucleotides) under metagenome. RNAcentral describes it as "bacterial LSU rRNA". It matches the Rfam family "Bacterial large subunit ribosomal RNA", at positions 1693 to 2925 of the family's 2925-position model. The record is from RNAcentral.